RNAcentral lists this unclassified non-coding RNA (412 nucleotides) under uncultured Piloderma. Its description in RNAcentral is "sequence contains ITS2". The stretch from base 1 to 155 matches the Rfam family "5.8S ribosomal RNA". The record is from RNAcentral. Lineage: Eukaryota; Fungi; Basidiomycota; Agaricomycetes; Atheliales; Atheliaceae.
AACUUUUAGCAAUGGAUCACUUGGCUCUCGCAUCGAUGAAGCACGCAGCGAAAUGCGAUAAGUAAUGUGAAUUGCACAUUUUCAGUGAAUCAUCGAAUCUUUGAACGCACCUUGCGCCCCUUGGUAUUCCGAGGGGCAUGCCUGUUUGAGUGUCAUUAAAUUCUCAACUCCGAUUUGAUUUGUUUCCAAUCGGAGCUUGGACUUGGAGUGUGCUGGCGUCUAGUCGGCUCCUCUCAAAUGCAUCAGCGGAAUCUAACCUUUGGUUUCCGGACGUCGGUGUGAUAAUAAAGUUGCGCCGUCAUUCGACUUCAAAGUCCGCUUAUAAUGGUCUUCGGACAAACUCUUAUAUCAAAUUUGACCUCAAAUCAGGUAGGACUACCCGCUGAACUUAAGCAUAUCAAUAGCGGAGGCU